UACGAAGGGGGCUAGCGUUGCUCGGAAUCACUGGGCGUAAAGGGUGCGUAGGCGGGUCUUUAAGUCCGGGGUGAAAUCCUGGAGCUCAACUCCAGAACUGCCUUUGAUACUGAGGAUCUUGAGUCCGGGAGAGGUGAGUGGAACUGCGAGUGUAGAGGUGAAAUUCGUAGAUAUUCGGAAGAACACCAGUGGCGAAGGCGGCUCACUGGUCCGGUACUGACGCUGAGGUGCGAAAGCGUGGGGAGCAAACAGG
RNAcentral lists this ribosomal RNA (253 nucleotides) under uncultured bacterium. RNAcentral describes it as "partial 16S ribosomal RNA". It matches the Rfam family "Bacterial small subunit ribosomal RNA", at positions 524 to 776 of the family's 1533-position model. The record is from RNAcentral.